CGCCAGACAUGCGUCAUUCGUCAAGCACCGAGCAGCGACUCGCCGAAUCGCGAGCAGUGUGGAUGUCUGUUUGUCUAUUCGGCAAGCAGCAAACAUUAGUGCUCGUUGUUUCCCGUUCAGUGUCGGUCUUUUGCACACAUCAAAGUGGACGAAUAUUUGGGAAAAGGCAAACUUUGCUUCAUCCACACAUUCGGCUUUGUGGUUGGGAGAUAAGAACUGUUCACGGUUUCCAAUUUUGUCAUCAGAGCCUCAUUGACUAUUGGGUAUGGAGUGGCCUAAUGAGUUGGUGUUGGAUUUCUUACAAUACUAUGAGAAUGAACCAGUUAUUUGGAACCCUUCUCA
Long non-coding RNA from Homalodisca vitripennis (glassy-winged sharpshooter), 342 nucleotides. RefSeq lists it as uncharacterized. Lineage: Eukaryota; Metazoa; Arthropoda; Insecta; Hemiptera; Cicadellidae. The record is from RefSeq and is a predicted model, not a curated record. The transcript is spliced from 2 exons.